This 243-nucleotide long non-coding RNA is filed under the name Glycine max (soybean). RNAcentral describes it as "long non-coding RNA (GMAX_LNC001254)". The record is from RNAcentral. Lineage: Eukaryota; Viridiplantae; Streptophyta; Magnoliopsida; Fabales; Fabaceae.
UUCUCAAUAAACAUAGAUGAUAGAACUGUUGAUUCAUUAUUCCAAUUCCAUAAAGGCAUUUCAUUACACGGGAAAAAAUGAAAAUCUAACCAAAAGCACACAGAACUUAAAAUAUAGGAAAUCUUGUAGUAGAAUUAAGAUAAAUAGACACUAUUUUGGAAUUUUACGUCUGACCAUACUGUCAAUAUAGCAAACUAUUAAUACUCUUCAACUCCAGCAAGAAAGUAAUCUAUCAAGGAAUCC